CAGUGUCGGCGCCUGUGAUGAGGCAAGCUACGAACUCCUUGCUUCUCCAUAACAAAACACACUUCUCUGUAAGAGUCAGGACUUUCAACAGCAAAUACCACCCCUUGAUACCAAAGCUCUUCUUCUCAGGGGCAGGUUGCUUGAGCUACCAACUACUGCUCUAAAGUGACAGAGGAGCACAGAGUGCUGGUUUCCCCAGGGCUGAGGAUGCCACGCAGGAUACCAGCGAAUCCAACCUCAUCUCACCAAAAGCUGCUGAGCUCCAGCCAUGCCUGGCUGUCCUUUCUGAUCCUGCCACUUGGGCUUGGGGCAUUCGAAAGGUGCUUUGUACAGCUGCAUCUAUUCUCCCAGCAUCGAUUUCCACUGCUACUCAGACACCUUCAUCUCCUCUUCCUUUUUAAUGUCCUUAAGAACUGAAGAAAUCCAAGAGCAGGCACCGAGGGAAGCCCAGGUUUGUGCUCAGCAGCAGCCGCUGCCUGCACAAGGAGGGCUGGCACAACCUCUUGCACAAACCAGCGUGGCACCAAGAGCAGCACCUGGGGAAUGCACUCAGCCUGUUUCCUUCAGAAACUCGGUCUAUAACACUUUCUGACACCUUUGAAUCAGCCUUUGCAGUGUAAAGGCUGGACCUGCUUAGGGACAUGGUUUAGUGGGUAACAUUGGUGAUGGUUGGACCAGAUGAUCUUGAAGGGCUUUUCCAACCUUAAUUCUAUGUACAAAUUUUGCUUGCAGCAUGCACACAUGUGCAAAAGUCCCUCUCUGCCAGCUCCAUGAAAGUCUGUUUUUAUGAGGCCUAGGCAGCGAUCUGGGGCUAGCACCUUGUCUAGCCAG
Long non-coding RNA from Cygnus olor (mute swan), 831 nucleotides. RefSeq lists it as uncharacterized. The record is from RefSeq and is a predicted model, not a curated record. The transcript has 3 exons. NCBI's taxonomy places the organism in Eukaryota, Metazoa, Chordata, Aves, Anseriformes, Anatidae.